AAUAUGAACUGUAAACAUGUCAGUAGGCAGCCUAAUGUAAUUAUGAAUAUAAUAUAAUAUAAUAUUUAACCUUAACCUGUCUUAUAUGAUAAUUUAUGUAUAGCAACAAGUAUUCAAAAACAGAAUGCAAUGAAAAGUUGAUGAUAGCAGUUUUAACACUAGGUUGAAAGAGUGGCAUUUUGAAAAAUAUACUUUAAUUCGUAGAAGAACUUAAUGAAUUUUUCUCAGACACGGGAUAUCUGCUAGCGAAUUGUUAUACCAAAGAGUUGGAUGCAAGUUUUAAAUUAUUUUUAAAUAAUAUUGAUUCACUUCAGUCAUUUAGCCUCAACAAAAUUUCAAAAAGGUGAGUAAUAUUGUACAAGGUGAUCUAUUAAUCAUAUGACACUCAUUAUAAUGAGUACCCUGU
Molecule: non-coding RNA, 406 nt
Organism: Cinara cedri
Lineage: Eukaryota; Metazoa; Arthropoda; Insecta; Hemiptera; Aphididae
Source: the annotation of a GenBank genome assembly